AGAGUUUGAUCCUGGCUCAGGACGAACGCUGGCGGCACGCUUAAAACAUGCAAGUCGAACGUGAAGCCCGGGCUUGCCCGGGUGGAAAGUGGCGAACGGGUGCGUAACACGUGAGCAACCUGCCCCGAAGACCGGGAUAACACCGGGAAACCGGUGCUAAUACCGGAUACCUUCACCACGUCGCAUGGCGAGGUGAAGAAAUGGAUUCCGCUUCGGGAUGGGCUCGCGGCCUAUCAGCUUGUUGGUGGGGUAACGGCCUACCAAGGCAACGACGGGUAGCUGGUCUGAGAGGAUGUCCAGCCACACUGGGACUGAGACACGGCCCAGACUCCUACGGGAGGCAGCAGUUAGGAAUCUUGCGCAAUGGGCGAAAGCCUGACGCAGCGAUGCCGCGUGCGGGAUGAAGGCCUUCGGGUCGUAAACCGCUUUCAGCAGGGACGAUGAUGACGGUACCUGCAGAAGAAGCCCCGGCCAACUACGUGCCAGCAGCCGCGGUAAUAC
Molecule: ribosomal RNA, 501 nt
Filed under: uncultured actinomycete
Lineage: Bacteria; Bacillati; Actinomycetota; Actinomycetes; Actinomycetales
Description: bacterial SSU rRNA
Rfam family: Bacterial small subunit ribosomal RNA
Source: RNAcentral